RNAcentral lists this ribosomal RNA (393 nucleotides) under uncultured bacterium. RNAcentral's name for it is "partial 16S ribosomal RNA". It matches the Rfam family "Bacterial small subunit ribosomal RNA", at positions 523 to 918 of the family's 1533-position model. The record is from RNAcentral.
AUACGGAGGAUACAAGCGUUAUCCGGAUUUAUUGGGUUUAAAGGGUGCGUAGGCGGACUGGUAAGUCAGCUGUGAAAGCUUGCGGCUUAACCGUAAAAUUGCAGUUGAUACUGUCAGUCUUGAAUGUGCAUGAGGUGGGCGGAAUCUGUCGGGGAACGGUGAAAUGCUUAGAUAUCACGAGGAACUCCAAUUGCGAAGGCAGCUCACUGGGGCAUAACUAGCGCUGAUGCUCGAAGGUGUGGGUAUCAAACAGGAUUAGAUACCCUGGUAGUCCACACGGUGAGCUAUGAAUGCUCGCUGUUUGCGAUAUACAGUAAGCGGCCAAGCGAAAGCAUUAAGUAUUCCACCUGGGGAGUACGCCGGCAACGGUGAAACUCAAAUGAAUUGACGGGG